UCUGAAUGAAGCAUAUAUGGGGUUCAGGAGUAAUCUUUUGAUGAUGCAGCCUCCUCCUUCUCUCGACAAUGUCUAUAAUAUGGUCCUCAAUGAUGAGAAGCAAAGACAAGUUCAGUCUUCUUCUCACCUUGACAAUGUCUAUAAUACGGUCCUCAAUGAUGAGAAACAAAAACAAGUCCAGUCUUCUUCUCACUUUAAUCUAGACUCUGUCUCUUUCAAUGUGCAUACUAAUAGGCAGCCUGUUGGAUUUAACAAGGCCACAGUGUCUGUUCCUCCUCCUUCUUUCAGACAGAGAGUCAAUUUUGACCAGGCAAGAGGACCUUUAUUUUGUAGAUACUGUAAAAAAUCUGGACACUUAAUUGAUAAGUGUUUCAAGAUCCAUGGGUAUCCACAAAAUAUAAAUUUUAACAAGGGGAGGAGACCUGAUGCUGCUCAUCUUAGUACUUGUCUGGAUUUUCCUCAUUCUGAAGGAAUUUUGCCUGUUCGUCAAGGGAAUCCUCCUGAAGGCCAUCAACCUGUUGCAAAAAUAGAUGGCCAGAGUUCUGUGAUACCAGGGUUGAGCAAACAAGAUUAUGACCAGUUGAUGAAUUUAUUACACCAGACCAAGUUAGGGGACUCCACUGCUCA
This 627-nucleotide long non-coding RNA is filed under the name Nicotiana benthamiana. Its description in RNAcentral is "long non-coding RNA (NBEN_LNC024091)". The record is from RNAcentral. Lineage: Eukaryota; Viridiplantae; Streptophyta; Magnoliopsida; Solanales; Solanaceae.